AGGGUUUGAUUAUGGCUCAGGACGAACGCUGGCGGUGUGCUUAACACAUGCAAGUCAACGAGAAUUUAUCUUCGGAUAAUAGUAAAGUGGCGAACGGGUGAGUAACGCGUAAAUAACUUGCCUCGGAGAUUGGGACAACAUUGGGAAACCAGUGCUAAUACCAAAUAAUGCAGCGGGCCCUUUGGGGUAUUGUUGUUAAAGUAGGCUUCGGCUUACACUUCGAGAUAGAUUUGCGUCCGAUUAGUUAGUUGGUAGGGUAAUAGCCUACCAAGACCGAGAUCGGUAGCUGGUCUGAGAGGAUGAUCAGCCACACUGGAAUUGAGAUACGGUCCAGACUCCUACGGGAGGCAGCAGUGAGGAAUUUUGCACAAUGGGCGAAAGCCUGAUGCAGCAACACCGCGUGAUUGAUGAAGUUUUUAGGAAUGUAAAAAUCUGUCGUAAGGGAAGAAAUGUUUCGGUUGUUAAUACCAUUCGUUACUGACGGUACCUUACAAGAAAGGACCGGCUAACUUCGUGCCAGCA
Molecule: ribosomal RNA, 522 nt
Filed under: uncultured Fidelibacterota bacterium
Lineage: Bacteria; Pseudomonadati; Fidelibacterota
Description: bacterial SSU rRNA
Rfam family: Bacterial small subunit ribosomal RNA
Source: RNAcentral